AAGAUAGGAGUCGAACCUACAACUGGAAGAUCAAAACUUCUCGUAAUCC
This 49-nucleotide transfer RNA is filed under the name Scinax perpusillus (Bandeirantes snouted treefrog). RNAcentral's name for it is "partial tRNA-Gln". Lineage: Eukaryota; Metazoa; Chordata; Amphibia; Anura; Hylidae. The record is from RNAcentral.